Molecule: ribosomal RNA, 486 nt
Filed under: uncultured bacterium
Lineage: Bacteria
Description: bacterial SSU rRNA
Rfam family: Bacterial small subunit ribosomal RNA
Source: RNAcentral
GAUGAACGCUAGCGGCAGGCCUAAUACAUGCAAGUCGAACGAUACCAGAGAGCUUGCUUUCUGGGAAAGUGGCGCACGGGUGCGUAACGCGUAUGCAACCUACCUUAAUCAGGGGGAUAGCCUCUCGAAAGAGAGAUUAACACCGCAUAACAUCAUUUUACGGCAUCGUAGAAUGAUCAAAUAUUUAUAGGAUUAAGAUGGGCAUGCGUGACAUUAGCUAGUUGGUGAGGUAACGGCUCACCAAGGCUACGAUGUCUAGGGGAUCUGAGAGGAUGACCCCCCACACUGGUACUGAGACACGGACCAGACUCCUACGGGAGGCAGCAGUAAGGAAUAUUGGUCAAUGGAGGCAACUCUGAACCAGCCAUGCCGCGUGCAGGAAGACGGCCCUAUGGGUUGUAAACUGCUUUUAUACGGGAAUAAACCUCUCUACGUGUAGGGAGUUGAAUGUACUGUAAGAAUAAGGAUCGGCUAACUCCGUGCCAG